ACUGUGCCACACACAGAAAUGUCAAGAUGAACUUAACCUGGGAUUCUGACAGGAUCCUGCUGGGAGGAUGGAGGAAGGAAAGGCUGUGUGGCGGUUAGAGUCUGACGGUGAUCAGUAAGAGAGCCACUUCAUCCUCUAGAAAGACAUCAAGAUGUGCUAGAAAAAAAAAAAAACUCCCUCUUGCACCAGGCAUGGUAGCGCACACCUCCAAUUCCAGCAGUUGGGAGGCAGAGGCAGAAGGACCAGCAAUUCAAGAUCAUCUUCAGCUAAGUGGCAAAUUCAAUGUCAACCUGGGCUAUGUGACACCUCAUCCAGAGAGGAAGAUGAAGGAGGAGGAAGAGAGGAUUACAGUCCUCUUGGGCACAAGAAGGAAUGGGAAGAUUCACAAGAGACUCGAAGCCAAAAUGGCAGAGAAGCAUCCCAUUGCACAAGCACCCCAAGGAAGAAAACUCAAUGAGAACAGGCUCCAAACACAUCAACACCACAUAACUCAAUUUCCAUGACAACAGAAAUAAUGAUCCCAGAUCAUCUUUCCAGAGAGGGAACCAGGCCCACUCCCCACAGAGAAGAAGCAGGCCAGCCAACACUGCAAGUGCUGAGGCCUUUGAAAGCUAACUUUGGCUGACAUGGGUUCAUUAGUCACCCUCACAUCAGGCACAAUGUGCCUUUUGGAGCCAAGCAUUCUCUCCCUCCUCCCUCCGUCCAGUGCCCGGGUUAGACACAGAGCUGAUCCUACUGGUUCCCUGCCUUAAACUGCACACACAGCAGAUGGAAAAACUAUGCCCAUGUAAGAAUGUGGAAUAUGCCAGACUCUAGAAAAGACCCAACAAAUACAGAAACGCGUGUCAUGACUGCCAAUGGAAGAAAGGAAAUAAUUAAAUCUAACUGUUUUUUUUU
This 897-nucleotide long non-coding RNA is filed under the name Mus musculus (house mouse). Its description in RNAcentral is "predicted gene, 50034". Lineage: Eukaryota; Metazoa; Chordata; Mammalia; Rodentia; Muridae. The record is from RNAcentral.